Long non-coding RNA from Nematostella vectensis (starlet sea anemone), 799 nucleotides. RefSeq lists it as uncharacterized. The record is from RefSeq and is a predicted model, not a curated record. The transcript is spliced from 2 exons. Lineage: Eukaryota; Metazoa; Cnidaria; Anthozoa; Actiniaria; Edwardsiidae.
UAUGCAGUUCAGUCAUGAUCACGUUAAGUCAUUCUGUGUUACACGGAGGUUUGGAUUGGUUAGAAUAUUGACGUCAGAGUCAAUAGCGGCCGUGGUAUGCGAACUUUUUUCUUUCUUAGAUUAUAUAUAAACCUCAUCUGUCGCUGGUUCUCGCAACUAGCGAGAAAUGGUUAUUUUAUUAAUGAGUCGAAAGAGAAUAAUCAAAAAGUGCAAGUAGUGCGUUAACGUUGUAAGAGCUGCGUACUGACCCGUACAAAUAGCUCAGGUCUCAGCUGUUCUGGAUGUUCUUUGAUGGAACUCAAAAGAGUUUUUCUGCUUGGCGCAGUUUUGGCGUUUUUGUGGUACGGGCACCAUCGAUGGUUCAAAGAGAAGGAAAAGUUCCCUAUCCAAGAAACUGCGAAGACUCAGGAAAGAAUACCAGUGGAACACGACGAGAGGUUGGUUUAAGGGCAAGUGAGAAGAGACUAAGGCGCUUAUACGAGAAAACCUUAACAUCCCAAGAAACUUUAAAUGCGACAAAGCAACGAUGCAAGCCUUAGAGGACUCAACGUCAUCGUCAUAAUAUAUGGAACGAUGUAGAUAUAGCACAAGCAACGAUGCGAGCCUUAGAGAGCAUUCAACGUCAUCGUCAUAAUACAUAGAACGAUGUAGAUUUUUUAAUAGCAUACAUAGCACCUUGAUUAAAAAAACAAUUAAAAAUUAAACAAACCGGAUACAGUAAAAACCCGCGUAUAAAACAAGUGGAUUAAGAGCACCCAGGCCUGGUUUUAGGAAAUAAAAUACCAUUUAUAUAAGAACA